CAAGUCGAACGCGAAAGUGGAGCAAUCCAUUAGUAGAGUGGCAAACGGGUGAGUAACGCGUGGGUGACCUGCCUUCGAGUGGGGGAUAACGCUCCGAAAGGGACGCUAAUACCGCAUAACAUCCUGCCUUUUAAGAGGUGGAAAUCAAAGCUUGGGACCGUAAGGCCAGGCGCUUGAAGAGGGGCCCGCGUCUGAUUAGCUAGUUGGUGGGGUAAUGGCUCACCAAGGCUUCGAUCAGUAUCCGGCCUGAGAGGGCGGACGGACACACUGGGACUGAGACACGGCCCAGACUCCUACGGGAGGCAGCAGUGGGGAAUUGUUCGCAAUGGGCGCAAGCCUGACGACGCAACGCCGCGUGGAGGAUGAAGAUCUUCGGGUCGUAAACUCCUUUCGAUCGAGACGAAUGGCCUCUGGGUGAACAAUCCAGAGGAGUGACGGUACCGAGAGAAGAAGCCCCGGCUAACUCCGUGCCAGCAGCCGCGGUAAUACGGGGGGGGCAAGCGUUGUUCGGAAUUACUGGGCGUAAAGGGCUCGUAGGUGGCCAUCUAAGUCAGACGUGAAAUCCCUCGGCUUAACCGGGGAACUGCAUCUGAUACUGGAUGGCUUGAGUUUGGGAGAGGGACGCGGAAUUCCAGGUGUAGCGGUGAAAUGCGUAGAUAUCUGGAGGAACACCGGUGGCGAAGGCGGCGUCCUGGACCAACACUGACACUGAUGAGCGAAAGCCAGGGGAGCAAACGGGAUUAGAUACCCCGGUAGUCCUGGCCCUAAACGAUGAAUGCUUGGUGUGGCGGGUAUCGAUCCCUGCCGUGCCGAAGCUAACGCAUUAAGCAUUCCGCCUGGGGAGUACGGUCGCAAGGCUGAAACUCAAGGAAUUGACGGGGGCCCCGCACAGGCGGUGGAGCAUGUGGUUCAAUUCGAC
Molecule: ribosomal RNA, 919 nt
Filed under: uncultured Acidobacteriota bacterium
Lineage: Bacteria; Pseudomonadati; Acidobacteriota
Description: bacterial SSU rRNA
Rfam family: Bacterial small subunit ribosomal RNA
Source: RNAcentral